Molecule: long non-coding RNA, 219 nt
Filed under: Carica papaya (papaya)
Lineage: Eukaryota; Viridiplantae; Streptophyta; Magnoliopsida; Brassicales; Caricaceae
Description: long non-coding RNA (CPAP_LNC007533)
Source: RNAcentral
GGCUGGGUGCCGGGCUGUAGAUCUAUAGUGAACUCGACUUCCUUAUCCACUGGCAGUCUGGAUAGUUCAUCCGAAAACACAUCUGCAAAGUUUCGGACUACCGGAAUCUCUUGAAUACAAUUCUCUUUCUUGGGUUUGCCUAGUUAGAGAAAAUAGCAAGGUUAAGAUACUUGACAAAUAAGAAAAUUUGCCAUCAAGGAAUAAAUACUAAAUGAUUUU